GGGAAUGUGGCUUAGUGGUAGAGUGCUUGACUUGCACACAUGAAGCCCUGGGUUUGAUUCCUCAGUACCA
This 70-nucleotide transfer RNA is filed under the name Dipodomys ordii (Ord's kangaroo rat). It matches the Rfam family "tRNA". From Rfam's summary of the family: Transfer RNA (tRNA) molecules are approximately 80 nucleotides in length. Their secondary structure includes four short double-helical elements and three loops (D, anti-codon, and T loops). Lineage: Eukaryota; Metazoa; Chordata; Mammalia; Rodentia; Heteromyidae. The record is from Rfam by way of RNAcentral.